ACAAUCCUGAUGUGUUCGUCGAUUAAUUGACGUUUUGACCGAACACCAUUAACAUCGGGAGCCUGGUGUUCUUAUGUGGAGUGCAAGCCGCAUUUACUUACGAAUUGCAUGCGGAAGCGUGAAGUAUAGGACAGGGCACCCACCUGCUAGGAGCGGGAUCAAAACUCAUCACAGCGACGGCAUAAUUGGGAUUGUC
Gracilibacillus kekensis is the source of this 196-nucleotide non-coding RNA. It matches the Rfam family "6S / SsrS RNA". From Rfam's summary of the family: E. coli 6S RNA was the first non coding RNA to be sequenced, but its function was unknown until recently. It consists of 184 nucleotides that fold into an extended hairpin structure with a large single-stranded internal bulge. The 6S RNA specifically associates with RNA polymerase holoenzyme containing the sigma70 specificity factor. Lineage: Bacteria; Bacillati; Bacillota; Bacilli; Caryophanales; Bacillaceae. The record is from Rfam.